This 471-nucleotide ribosomal RNA is filed under the name uncultured eukaryote. Its description in RNAcentral is "bacterial SSU rRNA". It matches the Rfam family "Eukaryotic small subunit ribosomal RNA", at positions 654 to 1120 of the family's 1831-position model. The record is from RNAcentral.
GUUUAGUAGUUAUGAUCAGGACCGCUUGUCCUAUUUUGUAGGACUUAACGUAAUUAAUUCUGUCUAUUUAUUUGAUAGUAAUUAGUUGCGCCACUCAGUCACUGAGAGCAAAUUGGAGUAUGCUCAAAGCAAGCUUUAUAGCUUUGAACAUUUUAGGCUUGGAAUGACAAAGAACGACUUUCCGUUCACUUUGUUGGUUAUGAAUAGAGAGUAAUGAUAAAAAGGAACAGUGUGGAGGUAUCUGUAUUGGGAAGCUAGAGGUGAAAUUCUUGGAUUUUCCACGACAAACAACGGCGAAAGCAUUUACCAAAAUGUUUUCAUUGGUCAAGAACGAAAGUGCGAGGAUCGAAGAUGAUUAGAUACCAUCGUAGUUCGCACAGUAAACGAUGCCGACUCGAGAUUGGAAUUUUUUCGUUAACAUAGAAAGUUUCCAGGAUCGUAUGUGAAAACAAAGUUUUUGGGUUCCGGGGG